AACCUUAUGGACCUGCGGGCGUAUACCUGCGGAGGGAUCAUUACCGAGUGAGGGUUCCCCUUCCCGGGGCCCGACCUCCCAACCCUCUGUCUACAGAACCUCCGUUGCUUCGGCGGACCCGUCGCUCCGCGACCGCCGGGGGAGCCCGUCCUCCUCGCGGGGGCGUCCCCUGGCCCGCGUCCGCCGGUGGCCCAACCUCUCAAAACUCUUUUGUCUCAACCGCGUCUCCAUGUCUGAGUC
This 240-nucleotide unclassified non-coding RNA is filed under the name soil metagenome. RNAcentral's name for it is "partial contains 5.8S ribosomal RNA, internal transcribed spacer 2, and large subunit ribosomal RNA". The record is from RNAcentral.